AAAGCGUGCGCAGGCGGUUAUGUAAGACAGAUGUGAAAUCCCCGGGCUCAACCUGGGAACUGCAUUAGUGACUGCAUAGCUGGAGUACGGCAGAGGGGGAUGGAAUUCCGCGUGUAGCAGUGAAAUGCGUAGAUAUGCGGAGGAACACCGAUGGCGAAGGCAAUCCCCCGGGCCUGUACUGACGCUCAUGCACGAAAGCGUGGGGAGCAAACAGGAUUAGAUACCCCAGU
This 230-nucleotide ribosomal RNA is filed under the name uncultured bacterium. Its description in RNAcentral is "partial 16S ribosomal RNA". It matches the Rfam family "Bacterial small subunit ribosomal RNA", at positions 562 to 791 of the family's 1533-position model. The record is from RNAcentral.